AAAUAUUAACUCACACCCAUCAACGCCCGGGUACUACGAGCCCUAGCUUAAAACCCAAAGGACUUGACGGUGUCCCAUCCACCUAGAGGAGCCUGUUCUAUAAUCGAUAAUCCCCGCUAAACCCAACCUCCUCUUGCAAUCAGCCUGUAUACCUCCGUCGUAAGCUUACCAUAUGAAUGACCCCAGUAAGCUAAAUGAUUGUAACACCCCAAUACGUCAGGUCAAGGUGCAGCUCAUGAGAAGGCAAGCAAUGGGCUACAAUUUCUAAUCUAGAACAAACGAAACACUGCAUGAAACUCAGCUGUGAAGGCGGAUUUAGUAGUAAAAAGAAAAUAGCGUGUUCUUUUUAACUAGGCCCUGGGACGUGU
RNAcentral lists this ribosomal RNA (368 nucleotides) under Nanorana yunnanensis (Yunan spiny frog). Its description in RNAcentral is "partial 12S ribosomal RNA". It matches the Rfam family "Bacterial small subunit ribosomal RNA", at positions 875 to 1384 of the family's 1533-position model. Lineage: Eukaryota; Metazoa; Chordata; Amphibia; Anura; Dicroglossidae. The record is from RNAcentral.